AGCCUGCGGCUUAAUUUGACUCAACACGGGAAAACUUACCCGGCCCGGACACAGGAAGGAUUGACAGAUUAAGAGCUCUUUCUUGAUUCUGUGGGUGGUGGUGCAUGGCCGUUCUUAGUUGGUGGAGCGAUUUGUCUGGUUAAUUCCGAUAACGAACGAGACUCUAGCCUACUAAAUAGACGUUCCGAUCCACUGCGUCGGACGUUCUUCUUAGAGGGACAAGCGGCGUUUAGCCGCACGAGACAGAGCAAUAACAGGUCAGUGAUGCCCUUAGAUGUUCGGGGCCGCACGCGCGCUACAUUGAAGGAAUCAGCGUGUGCUUUCCCUGUCCGACAGGACUGGGUAACCCGUUGAAACUCUUUCGUGCUGGGGAUAGGAAAUUGUAAUUGUUUUCCUUGAACGAGGAAUUCCCAGUAAGCGCGAGUCAUAAGCUCGCGUUGAUUACGUCCCUGCCCUUUGUACACACCGCCCGUCGCUACUACCGAUUGAACGAUUUAGUGAGGUCUUCGGACUGGCGCUCGGAGCGGCUUUCGGGUCGUGCCGGCGUGCCGGAAAGAUGACCGAACUUGACCGUUUA
RNAcentral lists this ribosomal RNA (577 nucleotides) under Portia heteroidea. Its description in RNAcentral is "SSU rRNA". It matches the Rfam family "Eukaryotic small subunit ribosomal RNA", at positions 1180 to 1775 of the family's 1831-position model. The record is from RNAcentral. Lineage: Eukaryota; Metazoa; Arthropoda; Arachnida; Araneae; Salticidae.